Molecule: small RNA, 497 nt
Filed under: Phoma sp. QL88-5
Lineage: Eukaryota; Fungi; Ascomycota; Dothideomycetes; Pleosporales; Didymellaceae
Description: eukaryotic LSU rRNA
Rfam family: 5.8S ribosomal RNA (bases 126-279)
Source: RNAcentral
UUUGCCUGCCAUCUCUUACCCAUGUCUUUUGAGUACCUUACGUUUCCUCGGCGGGUCCGCCCGCCGACUGGACAAUUUAAACCACUUGCAGUUGCAAUCAGCGUCUGAAAAAACUUAAUAGUUACAACUUUCAACAACGGAUCUCUUGGUUCUGGCAUCGAUGAAGAACGCAGCGAAAUGCGAUAAGUAGUGUGAAUUGCAGAAUUCAGUGAAUCAUCGAAUCUUUGAACGCACAUUGCGCCCCUUGGUAUUCCAUGGGGCAUGCCUGUUCGAGCGUCAUUUGUACCUUCAAGCCUUGCUUGGUGUUGGGUGUUUGUCUCGCCUCUGCGCGUAGACUCGCCUCAAAACAAUUGGCAGCCGGCGUAUUGAUUUCGGAGCGCAGUACAUCUCGCGCUUUGCACUCAGAACGACGACGUCCAAAAGUACAUUUUUACACUCUUGACCUCGGAUCAGGUAGGGAUACCCGCUGAACUUAAGCAUAUCAAUAAGCGGAGGAA